CUUGGGGUGAGCUGUUCCUGUGUUAUUGCACUGUGAAUAAAUUGCUUUAUGGAACAAGCAUCUGAGGCUCUGCUGUGGGAACCCUGGGGUCGAGCUGAACAAUUUCAGAAGAAGACAGAUUUGUCUUUACUCUGUGGUUUGGAGCAACAGUUACUCAGGGGAUUUGAUAGCACGUGGCAGAGAGCUACUGUUGGCUGGAGGUGUUGGGACUGCUCAACUGGAAUCCAUGCCCUCAACACUUUGUGUGGAGCAGCCUCUCCCCUGAACAGGCAGUGGACAUGUGCUCUCUUGGUAAAGGGGCUCUGGAACCUCUCCUCAGCCUCACAGUCUGGUUCUGAGCCAUCUCAUUGUGCAGCUCAGUGACACAGGGGGGAUCUGAAAGAAUACCUCUUACUGCAACACUAAAAAACCUUUGUAUUCCAAGGACUGGAGUCUCUUGGUUGGAGUGGGGGAAAGGGGAUAGAGCACUGUAAAUCAGAAUCCUAAAUCAUUCACCUGGCUGCUGUCCUUCUAAGUAGCUC
Passer domesticus (house sparrow) is the source of this 521-nucleotide long non-coding RNA. RefSeq lists it as uncharacterized. Lineage: Eukaryota; Metazoa; Chordata; Aves; Passeriformes; Passeridae. The record is from RefSeq and is a predicted model, not a curated record. The transcript has 3 exons.